GCCUGGCUGGCUCAGUUGGAGGAGCGUGUGGCUUUUGAUCUCCAGGUCGUGAGUUCAAGCCCCAUGUCGGGCA
Molecule: transfer RNA, 73 nt
Filed under: Felis catus (domestic cat)
Lineage: Eukaryota; Metazoa; Chordata; Mammalia; Carnivora; Felidae
Rfam family: tRNA
About the family: Transfer RNA (tRNA) molecules are approximately 80 nucleotides in length. Their secondary structure includes four short double-helical elements and three loops (D, anti-codon, and T loops). Further hydrogen bonds mediate the characteristic L-shaped molecular structure. tRNAs have two regions of fundamental functional importance: the anti-codon, which is responsible for specific mRNA codon recognition, and the 3' end, to which the tRNAs corresponding amino acid is attached (by aminoacyl-tRNA synthetases). tRNAs cope with the degeneracy of the genetic code in two manners: having more than one tRNA (with a specific anti-codon) for a particular amino acid; and 'wobble' base-pairing, i.e. permitting non-standard base-pairing at the 3rd anti-codon position.
Source: Rfam by way of RNAcentral